RNAcentral lists this ribosomal RNA (497 nucleotides) under uncultured bacterium. RNAcentral's name for it is "partial 16S ribosomal RNA". It matches the Rfam family "Bacterial small subunit ribosomal RNA", at positions 28 to 507 of the family's 1533-position model. The record is from RNAcentral.
GAUGAACGCUGGCGGCGUGCCUAAUACAUGCAAGUCGAGCGAACGGACGAGAAGCUUGCUUCUCUGGUGUUAGCGGCGGACGGGUGAGUAACACGUGGAUAACCUACCUAUAAGACUGGGAUAACUUCGGGAAACCGGAGCUAAUACCGGAUAAUAUUUUGAACCGCAUGGUUCAAAAGUGAAAGACGGUCUUGCUGUCACUUAUAGAUGGAUCCGCGCUGCAUUAGCUAGUUGGUAAGGUAACGGCUUACCAAGGCAACGAUGCAUAGCCGACCUGAGAGGGUGAUCGGCCACACUGGAACUGAGACACGGUCCAGACUCCUACGGGAGGCAGCAGUAGGGAAUCUUCCGCAAUGGGCGAAAGCCUGACGGAGCAACGCCGCGUGGGUGAUGAAGGUCUUCGGAUCGUAAAACUCUGUUAUUAGGGAAGAACAUAUGUGUAAGUAACUGUGCACAUCUUGACGGUACCUAAUCAGAAAGCCACGGCUAACUACGUG